Molecule: ribosomal RNA, 324 nt
Filed under: uncultured bacterium
Lineage: Bacteria
Description: bacterial SSU rRNA
Rfam family: Bacterial small subunit ribosomal RNA
Source: RNAcentral
GAUGAACGCUGGCGGCGUGCCUAACACAUGCAAGUCGAGCGAAGCACUUUGCUUGGAUUCUUCGGAUGAAGAGGAUUGUGACUGAGCGGGCGACGGGUGAGUACGCGUGAGGAACCUGCCUCGGAGUGGGGAAUAACAACCCGAAAGGGUUGCUAAUACCGCAUAAUGCAGUUGGGUCGCAUGGCUCUGACUGCCAAAGAUUUAUCGCUCUGAGAUGGCCUCGCGUCUGAUUAGCUAGUUGGCGGGGUAACGGCCCACCAAGGCGACGAUCAGUAGCCGGACUGAGAGGUUGACCGGCCACAUUGGGACUGAGACACGGCCCAG